RNAcentral lists this ribosomal RNA (253 nucleotides) under uncultured bacterium. RNAcentral's name for it is "partial 16S ribosomal RNA". It matches the Rfam family "Bacterial small subunit ribosomal RNA", at positions 524 to 776 of the family's 1533-position model. The record is from RNAcentral.
UACAGAGGGUGCAAGCGUUGUUCGGAUUUACUGGGCGUAAAGCGCGCGUAGGCGGUAUAUCAAGUCGGAUGUGAAAACCCAAGGCUUAACCAUGGAAGUGCAUUCGAAACUGGUACACUGGAGUCUCGGAGAGGGUGGUGGAAUUCCUGGUGUAGAGGUGAAAUUCGUAGAUAUCAGGAAGAACAUCAGUGGCGAAGGCGACCACCUGGACGAUGACUGACGCUGAGGCGCGAAAGCGUGGGUAGCAAACAGG